This 3840-nucleotide long non-coding RNA is filed under the name Homo sapiens (human). RNAcentral's name for it is "non-protein coding lnc-TMEM185B-2:4". Lineage: Eukaryota; Metazoa; Chordata; Mammalia; Primates; Hominidae. The record is from RNAcentral.
AGUAGCUCCCGAGCACGCCGGAGGCCUGGCCUGUGGAUGAGAUUGUUCCUUAUUUCCCCAGCUUCAGCACCACAGAAGAGACCAGAGUCUACCUUGCCAGCUCCUCUAGCACCGACCACGUGCCAAUUCAUGUCCUGAAUGCUCACUUCACUUCUUCACCUUGCUUCACUUCACUUACUGCACGGGAACAGAAAAGCCUAGAGAGGAUGGAUUACCUGUGCGGUUGCCUCCCUCUGCAGAGUGGGCGUGUCUCAGGAGCUUCUCUUCUUCUCCAGCCCAGUGCGGCCUCGUGUCAUCCAUAGGACCCACCGGCAGAGGGCAGGGCCUGCGAGUGGGGCCAGCCUCCUGGUGACUCUCGCCUCCUCUUUUCCAGCGGACGCUACCAGAGGACGAAGGUCUGACUCUGGCCAACGGCCCAGAAUUUCUGGCCCAGUUUUGCCUGAGGAAGCCAACUGUGCAGGAGGUCAGGAUCCCGGUAGGGUGAGAGUGGGAAAGUUAACAUUCCCAAGAGACUCCAAGCAACAGGAUUUCCUGACCUGGGACUAUUACCUUUCUCACAUUACAUGGCCAGAUUUACUUCCUGCUAUUAUUAAAAGUACGAAAAAGAUGAAGAUAUGUGUUUAAUGGAAACAAGGGCAAGAGUUUGCCUGACUGGACUUUGAGGAGGCUGUAGGAUCAUGGCGCUAACGGCAUUUGGAGGGCUGGGAAGGGACUCUAGCCCUGGCUUUACCUGCCUUUGUCAUCAGCUGGAGCAAGCAACUCCGCAACCUCGGAGCCUCAGUUUCCUUUUCUGUAAAAGGCGGGGAGGGUGGGUGGUAAGUGCAAUGCUGAAUCAGAACUCAUAGAGCUGCUGGGUGGACAUGUGAAGUAAAAGAGGAGACAGCUUUUGCUCCUGAAGGAUGCCAUUUGCGUUUUCCUCAUCAGUUUGAUCUCCUCCAAUCAUCCAGCACCUCCAUCUGACCUUCUCAGCUGAGAGGUCCUCAGUGUUUCUGUGGCCUCCAGGAGAAAGGUCCCCCUCCCCGGCUGAGGCCAGGCUGAUGGCAGGCUGCACGGCCAGCCUUCCACAGUCACCUGAAGGAUACAGAAAAGGAAGAGCUGGAGGCUUCUAGCAAGCUGCCGAACUGUGUCCUCCAGCUGCGCCCAGCCCCCUGGAGGUAGCGCCGGAGCACGUGGUGGUGGCUAUGUAGGAAGGCCCCUUUCGAGCCGCCCUAUACUGUCUUUGGGAUCUGCUUUUUACUGCCACAGCCUAUGUGCUCCUGAUUCUUCUCUCAAUCCCUGGAUGGAAACCGGCCUCUGAUACUUGGCUCUGCUUCCUUGGAGGAGCUACUUAACCAUUCAGUCCUCUCUGCAGUUAGCUAUUAAGGUUGUCCUGCGAACUGAAGCAGAGAGUCCCCGCAAAGGGUGCAGAGUAGGGCACCCACAGAGGAGCCUCUAAAGCACUUUCCAUGAGGUGGAUGGCUUCUCCUCCCCAAGGGACCCAGGAAGGAAAGGAGAGCUGGUGAGUGGGUGGGCUGGGUGAGCCCAGGGGUCAGCUUCCUCCCUGUGGCCCACAACUAGCCUCUGAAUCCCAGUGUCACACAUGACUCUAAGUUGGUCUUGGGACCAAAUCUCUGACCUCUUUGGCUGCAAGUACGAGAAGCCUUAUGUAGUGCUAAAACAAAAUUUUCACUUCUCCUUUUCGGCCUCUUAGAAUCCAUUGGCUGAGAGGAAAUGAAUUCACUAGUGUCUUGGCAAGAAUUUAUUUCAUUUAUUGCAAUAGCCUCUGUUUACAUUUCAAAACCAUGCAGACAAGUGCGUGUGAGAGAAUAUAUUCUGUCCAUGGAUAAUGCCUGGGACCCUGAUGAAUUAUCUGGCAGGCCCCCUUGCUGGGCACCAGUUUUGUCGCCAUCCAAUAAAGUCUUAAUAUAAACCUGGCUCUCAGGCAUGAGCUAUCUUAACACAUUUUGCCAGGCAUGUAUUAUGAUAAGCCCAUUUUGCAGAUAAGAAAAGAGAGGCACUGAGAGCUAUUGUAACGGCUCAGGACAAAGAGAUAGGAGAGCACAAGUUAGGUCUGGGUGACCCCAAAGCCCAUAUUUCCCCCCAUAUUCUCCUCUGCCCCAUGAGAGAUAAUCUCUGCUAAUCUUGUCUCUGUGGCUGGGGACUGGGAACUCCUCAACAGUGAAGUUGUCAACUACCAGCCACAUGUUAACAUUUCCUGAACAGUCACAAUGCUUUUGUAUCCAUUGCCUCGUUUAAUCCCCUAAGAAUUCAAUUAGUUGCCCUGUUUUACAGAGAAACAGAUCAGUCCUCAGAGAGGUUGAGCAACUUGCCCAAGGUCACAGGUUUAGGAAGAGGCAGGGCAGAGAUCAGAAUCCAAGUCUGCCUGUCCCCAGAUCCCUGCUGGCCUCUUUGCAGUGUGUGGGCUUCCCAAGGUCAGAGAUAAAGAGGGCACACAUAGCUAGCCUGAGCCAUAACAUCCCUCAGUCCUGCUUUUCUUCCCCACUCACAACAUGGUGGGUAUGAAAGAGUAAAAUGAAAACCCUAAUUGUUUGCCCCAGAGCUGGUCCUACACCCGGGAUGACUAAUCAGUCUCCACAUAGAGUACAUUUAGGGUCUCUGGAAUGAAGGAGAAUGUGGACAGAAAAAUGGGGCUUUUAAAAAACCUUGACUGAAAGUAAUUUUUAAUGUGCCAAAUAUUUCGACUCAAUCCAAUACACAGGUUUAUUACACAGAAGGCCAAAAUAUCCUAAACAGGCAUUAUUUUGCAACAAGAAGAAAUCAGAGCAAAUCCAGCCAUCAUUACUCCCAGGAGCUAAGAAUGUAAUUGUCUAAUGUGACUUAUAAUCAGCCAAGGUCUUGUCUUGAUGCUUUAGCCCACCAAAUGGCUUCUCCUGUCUCCAGGGGACAAUAAUCCCUGCGGAAUUCUCCUUAGCACAGAUGGGUUUCUGCACAGAUAACGGGUUUUAUUGCUUGAAAGCAUUUCGCAUUCUGUACUGCUGUUCCCAAGAAAGAGCUGGAACUGUCCUGCUCUGCAUCUGUCUCUUCUUAUUCCAGAUACCUCCAGAGCAGCUCAGAAUCCCUUGGGUUGGGGACAAGUCGAGGCAGAACAUAGAAAGAAGCACUUUGUGCCAGGCAGAGAUUCUCCACCCUUCCUGUUGUGUGAUUCUGAGCACGUCACUCCUCAUUCUCAGCCUUGGCUUCCUCUUCUGGAAAAUGGGAAGAGGAUGGUUCACUCAGAUGCCUUGGGAAUUGAGACUCCUAGCAGAGUGCCUGGCAUACAAUAGAUAUGCCGUAGCCCCUGUUCUUAAUCAACAGCUUGACUGAAGCACGGCCAGGGAGAAGCAUGACUUCGUGCGUGGACUUGGGUGCCCUUGGAUGGUUGCUUGGUCAGCUAAGUGCUCCUUGUUGAGCAUCCCUUUGAUCAAGCCACUUCCCUUCUCAAAAGGGUUCAUUGGUUUCCUGGCUCCCCUGAAUGCAAUCCAGAUUCUUGAACCUGGCCAUCGAGGCCUUCAUUUCCCAAAAUGUCUUUUCAGCCAACUUUUCCACUAUCCAAAGAGCCACUUAAUAAAUAUUUCAAGAAAGAGAAAAUACAAUGCAUCUAGCAUUAUGUGGCUGAAAAUCUUGGCCCUGUUCCUAAGAAGCUCGUAAGCUAAUUGGGAGCAGUAAGAUACCAAAAGAAAAGGAACCUGGCAUUGUUUCCUAACUUAUUUUAUAUUUUAAUUAAGGGACCACCAGCUCAGGCCCAGAGCUCUAGUUCCACUUCUGCCUCACAUUUGGAGGGCCUGCUCCAAUGUGAUACUUGGAGAAUGCCACUUAAGUUAAGCCACAGUCCAGGCACAGUGGUUCACGCCUACAAUCCCG